This 332-nucleotide long non-coding RNA is filed under the name Mytilus galloprovincialis (Mediterranean mussel). The record is from RNAcentral. Lineage: Eukaryota; Metazoa; Mollusca; Bivalvia; Mytilida; Mytilidae.
UGUAUUUAAAAUAAAAAAUUACUUACAUAAGUAAUUAAAAAAAAUAACUUGUUUAAGUAACGCCCCUGACUGCUCAUUAAAGAUUUCAAACAUCGACGUCACUAAAGAAAGAUACUUUCAAAGGUAAAUUCAAAUGCAUUAUUAGAAAACAAGCUGAUAACACCAUUGCUAAAAAAAAAGAAAUGUCAAACAGACAAACAACAGUACACGAAUCAGUACACAACAUUGACAACUAAAUAAUGAGAAGCGCGAAUACAAACAAAACCUGCAGGUGCUCCAGAAGGUAAGCAAAUUCUGUGGCACCCGACGUAUUACUCACGUUUUAAUCCCAG